This 251-nucleotide ribosomal RNA is filed under the name uncultured prokaryote. RNAcentral describes it as "partial 16S rRNA". It matches the Rfam family "Bacterial small subunit ribosomal RNA", at positions 525 to 775 of the family's 1533-position model. The record is from RNAcentral.
ACGUAGGGUGCGAGCGUUGUCCGGAAUUACUGGGCGUAAAGGGCGCGUAGGCGGAUUGGUCAGUCAGAGGUGAAAUCCCGCAGCUUAACUGCGGAGCUGCCUUUGAUACUGCCGAUCUUGAGUUCAGAAGAGAGAGAUGGAAUUCCAGGUGUAGUGGUGAAAUGCGUAGAUAUCUGGAAGAACACCAGUGGCGAAGGCGAUCUCCUGGUCUGAUACUGACGCUGAGGCGCGAAAGCGUGGGUAGCAAACAG